UUAAGAUUCACAUCGAUUGUAUUGGAGCCGCUGGAAUUUCGGCCCCCAGACACGAGCAGUGCAGAUGCAGGGCUUGUCUGCUCUGAUAAGGAGAGAGGGACUGCACCUGUUGCGGGUUGGGGCUACAGGGUGACCUCUCUUCAAGGUGAGGGCUGAAUUUACUUACUUAUACCACCUGUUCCUGAACCUGCCAGUCGCCUCUGCUAUCCAUGCCUGCAGGAUCAGGGCCCACAAUCCUAGCAGCACCA
RNAcentral lists this long non-coding RNA (248 nucleotides) under Lepisosteus oculatus (spotted gar). RNAcentral describes it as "lncRNA (ENSLOCG00000021635.1)". Lineage: Eukaryota; Metazoa; Chordata; Actinopteri; Semionotiformes; Lepisosteidae. The record is from RNAcentral.